Molecule: ribosomal RNA, 483 nt
Filed under: Blastocystis sp. subtype 2
Lineage: Eukaryota; Bigyra; Opalinata; Blastocystidae
Description: bacterial SSU rRNA
Rfam family: Eukaryotic small subunit ribosomal RNA
Source: RNAcentral
UUUGGAGGUAGUGACAAUAAAUCACAAUGCGGGACUAUUAGUCUUGCAAUUGGAUUGAGAACAACGUACAACUCUUAUCGAUAAGCCAUUGGAGGGCAAGUCUGGUGCCAGCAGCCGCGGUAAUUCCAGCUCCAAUAGCGUAUAUUAACGUUGUUGCAGUUAAAAAGCUCGUAGUUGAAGUGAGGGAGUGUGUGGUCAUGAGAGCUAGUCUCGAGUGUUCACAACCUCCCCCCUCCAAUCGGUGUAGUGGGGUAUUCAGUUAUUUCACUACUCCUUUGGUCGUUUACUGUGAGAAAAUUAGAGUGUUCAAAGCGGGCGUUUGUUUGAAUAGAUUAGCAUGGAAUAAUGAUUGAAGGCUUUCGUGUUCGAUUUGAUUGGUUUGUUCAUGGAAGCAAGGUUAAAAGGAACAGUUGGGGGUAUUCAUAUUCACUAGUUAGAGGUGAAAUUCUCGGAUUUAUGGAAGAUGAACAAGUGCGAAAGCAA